GAUGAACGCUGGCGGCGUGCCUAAUACAUGCAAGUCGAGCGAACGGAUAAGGAGCUUGCUCCUUUGACGUUAGCGGCGGACGGGUGAGUAACACGUGGGUAACCUACCUAUAAGACUGGAAUAACUCCGGGAAACCGGGGCUAAUGCCGGAUAACAUUUAGAACCGCAUGGUUCUAAAGUGAAAGAUGGUUUUGCUAUCACUUAUAGAUGGACCCGCGCCGUAUUAGCUAGUUGGUAAGGUAACGGCUUACCAAGGCAACGAUACGUAGCCGACCUGAGAGGGGGAUGGGCCCCACAGGACGGGAACCAGGGGCAAGACACCGAGGGAAGGAGCAGGGAGGAAACCUACAGAAGGGGAGGAAAGCAGGACGGACCAACCCGGGGGGAGGGAAGAAGUUUUCGGAUCCGAAAACUUUUUUUAUUGGGGAAAAAAAAAUGUUAAAGUACUUGUCCCCGUUUGAAGGGAACUAAUUAAGAAGCCCCGGGUAACCCCGGU
RNAcentral lists this ribosomal RNA (496 nucleotides) under uncultured bacterium. Its description in RNAcentral is "partial 16S ribosomal RNA". It matches the Rfam family "Bacterial small subunit ribosomal RNA", at positions 28 to 507 of the family's 1533-position model. The record is from RNAcentral.